RNAcentral lists this ribosomal RNA (2879 nucleotides) under Ralstonia solanacearum. Its description in RNAcentral is "23S ribosomal RNA". It matches the Rfam family "Bacterial large subunit ribosomal RNA". The record is from RNAcentral. Lineage: Bacteria; Pseudomonadati; Pseudomonadota; Betaproteobacteria; Burkholderiales; Burkholderiaceae. RNAcentral also lists the same sequence under 1 other name.
GGUCAAGCGAAUAAGUGCAUGUGGUGGAUGCCUUGGCGAUCACAGGCGAUGAAGGACGUAGUAGCUUGCGAAAAGCUGCGGGGAGCUGGCAAACGAGCUUUGAUCCGCAGAUGUCCGAAUGGGGAAACCCGGCCCGUAUGGGUCAUCCCUUGCUGAAUACAUAGGCAAGGGAGGCGAACGCAGUGAACUGAAACAUCUAAGUAGCUGCAGGAAAAGAAAUCAACCGAGAUUCCCAAAGUAGUGGCGAGCGAAAUGGGAACAGCCUUGUACUCUUUAGCAGUAUUGUUAGCGGAACGGAAUGGAAAGUCCGGCCAUAGUGGGUGAUAGCCCCGUACGCGAAAACAGUAUUGUGGAACUAGGUGUACGACAAGUAGGGCGGGACACGUGAAAUCCUGUCUGAAGAUGGGGGGACCAUCCUCCAAGGCUAAAUACUCGUGAUCGACCGAUAGUGAACCAGUACCGUGAGGGAAAGGCGAAAAGAACCCCGGGAGGGGAGUGAAAUAGAUCCUGAAACCGCAUGCAUACAAACAGUCGGAGCCUGGAAACGGGUGACGGCGUACCUUUUGUAUAAUGGGUCAGCGACUUACAUUCAGUGGCAAGCUUAACCGAUUAGGGAAGGCGUAGCGAAAGCGAGUCCGAAUAGGGCGUUCAGUCGCUGGGUGUAGACCCGAAACCAAGUGAUCUAUCCAUGGCCAGGUUGAAGGUGCGGUAACACGUACUGGAGGACCGAACCCACUAACGUUGAAAAGUUAGGGGAUGAGCUGUGGAUAGGGGUGAAAGGCUAAACAAACUUGGAAAUAGCUGGUUCUCUCCGAAAACUAUUUAGGUAGUGCCUCGUGUCUCACCUUCGGGGGUAGAGCACUGUCAUGGUUGGGGGGUCUAUUGCUGAUUACCCCGCCAUAGCAAACUCCGAAUACCGAAGAGUGCAAUCACGGGAGACAGACAUCGGGUGCUAACGUCCGGUGUCAAGAGGGAAACAACCCAGACCGCCAGCUAAGGUCCCUAAGAUUGGCUAAGUGGGAAACGAAGUGGGAAGGCUAAAACAGUCAGGAGGUUGGCUUAGAAGCAGCCACCCUUUAAAGAAAGCGUAAUAGCUCACUGAUCGAGUCGUCCUGCGCGGAAGAUGUAACGGGGCUAAGCCAGUCACCGAAGCUGCGGAUGCACGUAAGUGCAUGGUAGGAGAGCGUUCUGUAAGCCUGUGAAGGUGUCUUGUAAAGGAUGCUGGAGGUAUCAGAAGUGCGAAUGCUGACAUGAGUAGCGAUAAAGGGGGUGAAAGGCCCCCUCGCCGUAAGCCCAAGGUUUCCUACGCAACGUUCAUCGGCGUAGGGUGAGUCGGCCCCUAAGGUGAGGCAGAGAUGCGUAGCUGAUGGGAAGCAGGUUAAUAUUCCUGCACCGUCGUAUGAUGCGAUGGGGGGACGGAUCGCGGAAGGUUGUCCGGGUGUUGGAAGUCCCGGUCCCUACAUUGGAGAUGGCACUUAGGCAAAUCCGGGUGCGUGAUUCAAGGGUGUGGGGCGAGCGACGUUAGGUCGCGAAGCAAUUGGAAGUGGUUCCAAGAAAAGCCUCUAAGCUUCAGUCAUACGAGACCGUACCGCAAACCGACACAGGUGGGCGAGAUGAGUAUUCUAAGGCGCUUGAGAGAACUCGGGAGAAGGAACUCGGCAAAUUGGUACCGUAACUUCGGGAUAAGGUACGCCCUUGUAGUUUGACUGGCUCGCGCCAGAAGGAUGAAGGGGUUGCAAUAAAAUGGUGGCUGCGACUGUUUAAUAAAAACACAGCACUCUGCAAACACGAAAGUGGACGUAUAGGGUGUGACGCCUGCCCGGUGCCGGAAGAUUAAAUGAUGGGGUGCAAGCUCUUGAUUGAAGUCCCGGUAAACGGCGGCCGUAACUAUAACGGUCCUAAGGUAGCGAAAUUCCUUGUCGGGUAAGUUCCGACCUGCACGAAUGGCGUAACGAUGGCCACACUGUCUCCUCCCGAGACUCAGCGAAGUUGAAGUGUUUGUGAUGAUGCAAUCUCCCCGCGGCUAGACGGAAAGACCCCAUGAACCUUUACUGUAGCUUUGCAUUGGACUUUGAACCGAUCUGUGUAGGAUAGGUGGGAGGCUUUGAAACCGGGACGCUAGUUUCGGUGGAGCCGACCUUGAAAUACCACCCUGGUUUGUUUGAGGUUCUAACCUUGGCCCGUGAAUCCGGGUCGGGGACAGUGCAUGGUAGGCAGUUUGACUGGGGCGGUCUCCUCCCAAAGUGUAACGGAGGAGUUCGAAGGUACGCUUGGUACGGUCGGACAUCGUACCUAAAGUGCAAUGGCAAAAGCGUGCUUAACUGCGAGACCGACAAGUCGAGCAGGUGCGAAAGCAGGACAUAGUGAUCCGGUGGUUCUGUAUGGAAGGGCCAUCGCUCAACGGAUAAAAGGUACUCUGGGGAUAACAGGCUGAUACCGCCCAAGAGUUCAUAUCGACGGCGGUGUUUGGCACCUCGAUGUCGGCUCAUCUCAUCCUGGGGCUGUAGCCGGUCCCAAGGGUAUGGCUGUUCGCCAUUUAAAGAGGUACGUGAGCUGGGUUUAAAACGUCGUGAGACAGUUUGGUCCCUAUCUGCCGUGGGCGUUGGAAUCUUGACGGGGGCUGCUCCUAGUACGAGAGGACCGGAGUGGACGUACCGCUGGUGUACCUGUUGUCUCGCCAGAGGCAUCGCAGGGUAGCUAUGUACGGAAGAGAUAACCGCUGAAAGCAUCUAAGCGGGAAACUCGCCUGAAGAUGAGGAUUCCCUGGAGACUUGAUCUCCCUGAAGGGUCGUUCGAGACCAGGACGUUGAUAGGCUGGGUGUGGAAGCGCAGUAAUGUGUUCAGCUAACCAGUACUAAUUGCCCGUGCGGCUUGAUCCU